AGGUUAAGCUACAAAGAGCACACGGAGGAUGCCUAGGCGCCAGGAGCCGACGAAGGACGUGGCGAACAACGAUAAGGCCUCGGGGAGCUGUAAGCAAGCUUU
RNAcentral lists this ribosomal RNA (102 nucleotides) under Paenibacillus jamilae. RNAcentral describes it as "partial 23S ribosomal RNA". It matches the Rfam family "Bacterial large subunit ribosomal RNA", at positions 1 to 100 of the family's 2925-position model. The record is from RNAcentral. Lineage: Bacteria; Bacillati; Bacillota; Bacilli; Caryophanales; Paenibacillaceae.